GGAGAGGUGUCCGAGUUGGUCUAAGGAGCACGAUUGGAAAUCGUGUAGCCGAUGAGGCUCGCGGGUUCGAAUCCCGCCCUCUCCG
Molecule: transfer RNA, 85 nt
Filed under: Bacteroidota bacterium
Lineage: Bacteria; Pseudomonadati; Bacteroidota
Also listed under: 3 other names
Description: Bacteroidetes bacterium (marine metagenome) tRNA-Ser
Rfam family: tRNA
About the family: Transfer RNA (tRNA) molecules are approximately 80 nucleotides in length. Their secondary structure includes four short double-helical elements and three loops (D, anti-codon, and T loops). Further hydrogen bonds mediate the characteristic L-shaped molecular structure. tRNAs have two regions of fundamental functional importance: the anti-codon, which is responsible for specific mRNA codon recognition, and the 3' end, to which the tRNAs corresponding amino acid is attached (by aminoacyl-tRNA synthetases). tRNAs cope with the degeneracy of the genetic code in two manners: having more than one tRNA (with a specific anti-codon) for a particular amino acid; and 'wobble' base-pairing, i.e. permitting non-standard base-pairing at the 3rd anti-codon position.
Source: RNAcentral